RNAcentral lists this long non-coding RNA (341 nucleotides) under Jatropha curcas. Its description in RNAcentral is "long non-coding RNA (JCUR_LNC003044)". Lineage: Eukaryota; Viridiplantae; Streptophyta; Magnoliopsida; Malpighiales; Euphorbiaceae. The record is from RNAcentral.
UAUAUUUGCUGUUUUAUGGAAAAAAAUCAACUUUUCGGAUGGAAGGACCUUUUAAUUAGACGGAGUUAAACCUGAGAGACUAGUUAGAUAUUUUCGCAAAACUUGGAAUUAGUUAGAUAAUUAUGUAAAACCUGAGGGACUGAAUAAUAAUUUUCCCUUAUUGCUUCAUACUAGUCCACGUCAGCCAGGGAGGGAAUUUUAGUCUUUUAGUCUUCAAUUGACGGAAAAAAAUCAACUUUUCGGACGAAAGGACCUUUUAAUUAGACGGAGUUAAACUUGAGGGACUAGUUUGAUAUUUGCGCAAAACUUGGGAUUAGUUGGUUAAUUAUGUAAAACCUGAG